Molecule: unclassified non-coding RNA, 22 nt
Filed under: Mus musculus (house mouse)
Lineage: Eukaryota; Metazoa; Chordata; Mammalia; Rodentia; Muridae
Description: oocyte_clustered_small_RNA5538
Source: RNAcentral
UGUGGUUGCAGCAAGGAGCAAG